GUGGGAACUGGAGGUAACAGUCUACAGCCAUGGUCGCCCCGCAGCACGCCCACGCGCCGCGCCACGCCGCGCCCCGAGCCGCGGGCUGGGGACGCGGAGCAGAAGGAGGCGGGGGCGGCGAGUCAAGAUCCCACGUGCCCGCGCGGGUGGCAGGAGGUGCUGCGCAGGGAGGCGGCCUCCCGGGGCCGGCGGCUGAGUCCACCGAGGCUCGAGCGCGCGCGUCCUGCGGAGUGCGUCUGGCGGCCAGCCUGAGGCCGUCCUGUCCUCCCGGCCAAGGAGGAUAAGAAGGGUCCCCAACCCUCUGGAAGCCAAUGAGCUUGUAAAGUUAACCUGGUCCGCGAAGCGUCUGAACAGAUCAGCCUGCUCACCUCAGCCUAUCUCUAGGUGCUGGAUUCCAAUCUGAGACAGUUUCUCAAAUUAGCCCUAAAGAGGAGUGAAUACCACAGGGGCUGAAGUCCUCUGGUGCGGAUGAAGUGUGAACAAGGAUCUCUAAAAAUAUUAUUGUAUAUGUCGCCUGCCUCUGCCAACAUCACCCACUACAGGGGAUGUCUAUUGAAUAUCAGGUGCACUGUGAGGAUUAAAUAGGAUCAUGCCUCCUUCCCUUCAGUUUGGGACUUAAAACUUCCACCAAUAACGUGAGUAUGUGCACCCAUGCAGCAGCCUGUCCGAGGACUCACAACUGGAGACACCUCCCUGCUUGGCGCUGCCCAGAAAACUAUGUAGAUGGCCAAGAAACCGACUUCCAUUAUAAAAUGUUUUUCUGUGUGUACCAGGAAAAA
RNAcentral lists this long non-coding RNA (779 nucleotides) under Homo sapiens (human). Its description in RNAcentral is "HSALNT0388045". Lineage: Eukaryota; Metazoa; Chordata; Mammalia; Primates; Hominidae. The record is from RNAcentral.